GAAUCUUGGACAAUGGGCGCAAGCCUGAUCCAGCCAUGCCGCGUGAGUGAUGACGGCCUUCGGGUUGUAAAGCUCUUUCGCCCACGACGAUGCUGACGGUCGUGGGAGAAGAAGCCCCGGCUAACUUCGUUCCAGCAGCCGCGGUAAUACGAAGGGGGCUAGCGUUGUUCGGAAUUACUGGGCGUAAAGCGCACGUAGGCGGUUCAGCAAGUUGGGGGUGAAAUCCCGGGGCUCAACCUCGGAAUUGCCUUCAAAACUGCUGGGCUUGAGUUCGGAAGAGGUGAGUGGAAUUCCCAGUGUAGAAGUGAAAUUCGUAGAGAUUGGGAAGAACACCAGUGGCGAAGGCGGCUCACUGGUCCGCAACUGACGCUGAGGUGCGAAAGCGUGGGGAGCAAACAGG
RNAcentral lists this ribosomal RNA (400 nucleotides) under uncultured bacterium. RNAcentral's name for it is "bacterial SSU rRNA". It matches the Rfam family "Bacterial small subunit ribosomal RNA", at positions 359 to 776 of the family's 1533-position model. The record is from RNAcentral.